Molecule: transfer RNA, 78 nt
Filed under: EBPR siphovirus 2
Lineage: Duplodnaviria; Heunggongvirae; Uroviricota; Caudoviricetes
Description: tRNA-Arg
Rfam family: tRNA
About the family: Transfer RNA (tRNA) molecules are approximately 80 nucleotides in length. Their secondary structure includes four short double-helical elements and three loops (D, anti-codon, and T loops). Further hydrogen bonds mediate the characteristic L-shaped molecular structure. tRNAs have two regions of fundamental functional importance: the anti-codon, which is responsible for specific mRNA codon recognition, and the 3' end, to which the tRNAs corresponding amino acid is attached (by aminoacyl-tRNA synthetases). tRNAs cope with the degeneracy of the genetic code in two manners: having more than one tRNA (with a specific anti-codon) for a particular amino acid; and 'wobble' base-pairing, i.e. permitting non-standard base-pairing at the 3rd anti-codon position.
Source: RNAcentral
GUUCGCCUAGCUCAACUGGAUCAGAGCAGCGUUUUUCUAAAAUGCGGGUUGCAGGUUCGAGUCCUGCGGCGAACGCCA